Molecule: ribosomal RNA, 491 nt
Filed under: uncultured bacterium
Lineage: Bacteria
Description: partial 16S ribosomal RNA
Rfam family: Bacterial small subunit ribosomal RNA
Source: RNAcentral
GUGAACGCUGGCGGUAGGCCUAACCCAUGCAAGUCGAACGGCAGCACAGUAAGAGCUUGCUCUUACGGGUGGCGAGUGGCGGACGGGUGAGGAAUACAUCGGAAUCUACUUUUUCGUGGGGGAUAACGUAGGGAAACUUACGCUAAUACCGCAUACGACCUACGGGUGAAAGCAGGGGAUCUUCGGACCUUGCGCGAUUGAAUGAGCCGAUGUCGGAUUAGCUAGUUGGCGGGGUAAAGGCCCACCAAGGCGACGAUCCGUAGCUGGUCUGAGAGGAUGAUCAGCCACACUGGAACUGAGGCACGGUCCAGACUCCUACGGGAGGCAGCAGUGGGGAAUAUUGGACAAUGGGCGAAAGCCUGAUCCAGCCAUACCGCGUGGGUGAAGAAGGCCUUCGGGUUGUAAAGCCCUUUUGUUGGGAAAGAAAAGCAGCAGGUUAAUACCCCGCUGUUCUGACGGUACCCAAAGAAUAAGCACCGGCUAACUUCGUG